UACGUAGGUGACAAGCGUUGUCCGGAUUUACUGGGCGUAAAGAGCGCGCAGGCGGUCGAUCAAGUCGAGUGUGAAAGCCCCCGGCUCAACUGGGGAGGGUCAUUCGAAACUGGUCGACUCGAAGGCAGGAGAGGGUAGUGGAAUUCCCGGUGUAGUGGUGAAAUGCGUAGAUAUCGGGAGGAACACCGGUGGCGAAGGCGGCGUUCUGGACUGCAACUGACACUGAGGAACGAAAGCCAGGGGAGCAAACGGG
This 253-nucleotide ribosomal RNA is filed under the name uncultured bacterium. Its description in RNAcentral is "partial 16S ribosomal RNA". It matches the Rfam family "Bacterial small subunit ribosomal RNA", at positions 524 to 776 of the family's 1533-position model. The record is from RNAcentral.